Long non-coding RNA from Camellia sinensis, 569 nucleotides. RefSeq lists it as uncharacterized. Lineage: Eukaryota; Viridiplantae; Streptophyta; Magnoliopsida; Ericales; Theaceae. The record is from RefSeq and is a predicted model, not a curated record.
GAUGCUAUCUCUCACUCCAUGAUUGUGUCUGUCUAUCUCUCACUCCAUGAUUGUCUCUCUCUCUCUGACGCCUCUGCUCUCUCUUUCUGUCUCUCUUUACCUAAUUUCAAUCUCUAGGGUUUUCUCUGUCGGCGCUUACCACGGUGGUUCUCCGGCGUGAGCUAAGUUCAGAGGAAUCGGAAGAUGUUUUUUUCAAGCAGGUAAGGAUGUGGUGAUUCCGCCGAGUUGAAGGCAUGAAUAUAUUUUGUAAAGAGUAGAUAGCUUCUUUUUUUUUUUUUUUUUUUUUUUUUAUUUUUUUUUGUAGAUUUAAUUGCUAGCCAAGGGCUAUUCAUGUAUGGGCCCGAGAGGUCAUUUUUGUGUAACCAGGCUUAAGCCUUUGAAAUUGUAAGCCCAUGAGGGUAUUUUAUUAUUUUUGGAACGUGAUGCUCUACAUGUUAUAGAUUCAUGUAUUUUUUGUAUCAUUGAAUGUAUAAUUCGCAUGUGGAACUUUGGUAUAAAUCUAGUGAAUUAAUGGUGUAAUGGUUGGAGUAUUGCUAUUACAAUUUUAGCAGAUGUGAGUUGAUGUAUUA